RNAcentral lists this ribosomal RNA (693 nucleotides) under Triticum aestivum (bread wheat). Its description in RNAcentral is "partial small subunit ribosomal RNA". Lineage: Eukaryota; Viridiplantae; Streptophyta; Magnoliopsida; Poales; Poaceae. The record is from RNAcentral.
AUGAAGCGCUUCCUGCCGCCGUCCGCCGCGGCGGAGGCGCGGAUGCGGUCGAGCACCUGGCCCUUGCACAUGUUGGGCGGGCAUGUGCCGAGGCCGCAGCCGUGCGGGCCGGCGUGGAAGUCGUGGUGCGGCGCGAUGCGGAGGCGGCCGUCGGCGUCGACGCGGCUGGGGUUGGUGUUGAUCUCGGAGAAGCAGCCCCGGAGGCCGUGGUGGUCGAGGACGGCCUCGAUGAAGAAGCGGUUGGCGUCGCUGAGGACCCGGAGGUCGCAACCGAGGCUGUGGGCGGCCCUGAUGGCGGCGACGACGUGCGGGUCGAUGGGCGCGGCACGGAGCACGUCGGCGACGUCGCGGAGGGUCCUGCCCUGCGCGUGCAGCUCCCCCAUGACGGUGUCGAUGAGGGUGUUCCACGGCAUGGUGGGCAGGAGGCGGUCGAAGAGCUCCGUGGCGCCGAGGCCGUCGACGACCCAGUUGUCGCUGUCGACGUCGAUGAUGGUCUUGUCGAAGUCGAACACCACCACCACGCCGUCCAUCUCGACGUACGGUCCUUCUUCUUGGAUUGGAUUUCGGAGUGGUGUGCGUGCGUGCGUGCCUGCGUGCGGUUUGCCUCGAGUGGUCUUGACGAGGGCUAUAUACUGGCCCGGGACGGGGAGGCGGGAAGAUGCUGAGGGAAUAUUACGAGAUGCCUACGAAUAG